Molecule: long non-coding RNA, 816 nt
Organism: Branchiostoma floridae (Florida lancelet)
Lineage: Eukaryota; Metazoa; Chordata; Leptocardii; Amphioxiformes; Branchiostomatidae
Exons: 3
Source: RefSeq, a predicted model, not a curated record
GAUUUUGUACCUUGUUUAUCAUUGAAGCGAAACUCCGAUCAUUACAAGUGCAAAUGCAUCUUCUCAACAUCUAUAUAAAGCGGACAGUCCGGCUGAUAUCAAGGCACUUGAACUCCGGAACCACUAUUCCGUCAGCCCAGCCCUCACUGUGUUCAGGAUGAAAACCUCCCUGGUGCUGCUUCUCGCUGUGAUGGUCAUCUCCUCACAGAUGAUGACCGCCGAAAGUUGGUGGCCGCAUGGCAGGGCCUCGGAGCGUAACGCCGAGUCUCCCCGGGACGUCUCGGCCCUGAAGGCGCUGUUGGCCCGCCGACUGGCCGCAGAGCGCCGGGAGCUGGCCAGGGAGCUCCUGGACAAAAGGGAGGUGGAGAAGGUUAUGGCCGACAUGCAGAAAGAAUGACGAAAAUGACAACCAAGCCGCCGACCAUGCGACCAUCCUGAGAUGUAUGAAAACUACUUUUGAACACAUCUUGCCGAGUGACGCUCGCGAAAGAUAGUGGAUGCCACCUGUUGAUUUUGUUAAUUUUCUGUUUACUAAUUGUACAAGAUUUGUUGUUUAUGUGUUUUUUCUAUUGUUAUGACUUGUAGGACUCCAGAAAGAAUAGUUAUACUACAUUUUAUAUCAAUAAUGGAGAUCCCAAUUAAAAAAAAAAACGUCUGACCGUUUCCAAACCAAGUAGCUGUGGCGUUACCAUUUGUCUUAUCUAAUUACCUGGAUAUCUAAACUUCAUCAACAGGACUUUGUUCUGCUAAUACCGUUAGUUUAGCUUGUCUCAGUAACGUGCACUUUCCUGUCAAUAAGAUAGUCUAUAACGCACC